RNAcentral lists this ribosomal RNA (253 nucleotides) under uncultured bacterium. RNAcentral describes it as "partial 16S ribosomal RNA". It matches the Rfam family "Bacterial small subunit ribosomal RNA", at positions 524 to 776 of the family's 1533-position model. The record is from RNAcentral.
GACAGAGGUGCCGAGCGUUAGGCGGAAUCACUGGGCUUAAAGCGUGUGUAGGCGGGCGGGCAAGUACCUUGUGAAAUCCCACGGCUCAACCGUGGAACGGCUGGGUAUACUGCCUGUCUUGAGCCAACUAGGGGCGAGCGGAACAGACGGUGGAGCGGUGAAAUGCGUAGCUAUCGUCUGGAACGCCGAAGGUGAAAACAGCUCGCUGGGGUUGUGCUGACGCUGAGACACGAAAGCCAGGGGAGCGAACGGG